CAGUAGCCGCGGGAAUACGUAGGUCCCGAGCGUUGUCCGGAUUUAUUGGGCGUAAAGCGAGCGCAGGCGGUUAGAUAAGUCUGAAGUUAAAGGCUGUGGCUUAACCAUAGUACGCUUUGGAAACUGUUUAACUUGAGUGCAAGAGGGGAGAGUGGAAUUCCAUGUGUAGCGGUGAAAUGCGUAGAUAUAGGGAGGAACACCGGUGGCGAAAGCGGCUCUCUGGCUUGUAACUGACGCUGAGGCUCGAAAGCGUGGGGAGCAAACAGGAUUAGAUACCCGUGUAGUCCCUGUCUCUUAUACC
RNAcentral lists this ribosomal RNA (301 nucleotides) under uncultured bacterium. RNAcentral's name for it is "partial 16S ribosomal RNA". It matches the Rfam family "Bacterial small subunit ribosomal RNA", at positions 509 to 808 of the family's 1533-position model. The record is from RNAcentral.